AGCUCCAAUAGCGUAUAUUAAAGUUGUUGCAGUUAAAAAGCUCGUAGUUGGAUUUUGGAUUGUGUUUAAUGGUCUGCCGUGAGGUAUGCACUGUUAGGCGCUUUCUUCUUGUCAAAGACUGUGUGUGCUCUUAAUUGAGUGUGCUCAGGGUUUGGCACUUUUACUGUGAGAAAAUUAGAGUGUUUAAAGCAGGCGUUUGCUUGAAUAUUGCAGCAUGGAAUAAUGGAAUAGGAUCACGAUCUUAUUUUGUUGGUUUCUAGGAUCGAGAUAAUGAUUAAUAGGGAUAGUUGGGGACAUUAAUAUUUAAUUGUCAGAGGUGAAAUUCUUGGAUUUAUGAAAGAUUAACUUCUGCGAAAGCAUUUGUCAAGGAUGUUUUCGUUA
RNAcentral lists this ribosomal RNA (381 nucleotides) under Pseudoperkinsus sp. RNAcentral describes it as "partial small subunit ribosomal RNA". It matches the Rfam family "Eukaryotic small subunit ribosomal RNA", at positions 587 to 975 of the family's 1831-position model. Lineage: Eukaryota; Ichthyosporea; Ichthyophonida. The record is from RNAcentral.